CCAUCGGCUGUGUGGUCAGAUUUGUGACUGGAACCAUGCGUGCGAUGCGGGAUAGGUGGCUGGAAGUCGCACACGUUGGGUGAGUGGCGGACGAGAAGCAGGGAGAAUCCUCACCAACCAUAUGUGGGAGCGGUUUCAGCCCAGGUGGAGGGCGUGGUGCCGCCUUCCGGGGCAGCGGCAUCAAGGCCAUCGACCAACGGAUCACGGCAGCAAUGGCGUACAGCCACCACAUGGAGCAGGGCAACGGCAAAGCCAUCCUUGUCUUGCGCGUCAGCAGCCGCAUGUCAUCUUCAAGAUUUCGCUUGGUGGUGGCACUCCUGCAGGCCAAGGCAGUGGCCGAGUGGUGGCUAGCAAGGAAGAAGCUGGGCAGCGGAAUAGAUGGACACGACUGCCUGCACAACAAUGCUGUUGCAAUAUCAAGACUGGGUAUCAACACCUCAGCCAAUGGUGAAGAAGACUCCUCUAGCUGUAACUAAGAGGUAGUGAGAAGAAACGUUUCUUCCAAUAUAGAAGGUAAGCCUUGUGUUCAAAAUGCAAAAUAAAAGGACAAUGCUGCUGAGUAAGAGCAGUACCCAAUAGAGCACUAGAGCUAGACAGUUUUGCUUUAUAUUUUGUACUCACAUGAUAGAUGCCAACAGUUUAUGCUAAUAAUCUCUUUUCUCAAUUGACCUUUUGUACUCACAUGAUAGGUGCCAACUAAUAGAGAAGAUACUCACAUGAUAUUUUGCAAUGAAGUGUUUUAUGCAACAAUUUAGCGGCCUUGUUUACUUCCGAAAUUUUUUGCAAAAUAGGAAUAGUAGCAUUUUCGUUUGUAUUUGAAAAAUAUUAUCCAAUCAGGGACUAACUAGGCUCAAAAGAUUCGUUUCGUAAAUUACAGGUAAACUGUGUAAUUAGUUAUUUCUUUUAUCUAUAUUUAGUGCUUCAUGCAUGUGCCGCAAGAUUCGAUAUGAUGGGGAUGUGAAAUGUAGCACCCGGUUUUAAGCACAAAAUCACAUACACACCAUAUAUGAGCACAGAAAGUCAAAUCUCAUAUAUAGUUACAAAUAAGGGUAAUAUCAAUAGACAAUGCUUAAUAUAUAACAAACUUAACAUAAAAGAUAUAACCUUAGAUAGCAAACAGCGGAAAGACACUCCGUUCUUCAGGCGAAAGCUCCAAAUCCACAGGAAGAACUGACUGGUUGAGCAUAAGCCUAAACUCUUCUCCAAACUAGUAAUUUGGUAUCCAUCCGAGAUUUUUAUCCAAAUAAAGAAAAUAAACAAGCAUAAGUACAUCUCGUACUUAACAAGUGUAACAUGGGGUUCAUGAGACUCAAAGGCUAGACACGAGUUUAACUACAUGUAGCUUUUAGUUGUCACAAUUUUAGCAUAGGAGUAGCAUCAAGUUGUCAAGUCCCAAAGUAAACUCAUGAUCAAGUAAAGUGAAUAAAGAAUAGCAUAAACAAUACAUUAACAACAAUAACAUUAAUAAAUUGUCAUUAGUGAUCAUUUAUUAUGUAUUGGUUCCAAGGCUGCUCGUGACCGUGAGCACGGCUAAUAUAUCAGUUUUACACUCUGCAGAGGUUGUACACUUUCACUGUGAGUCGUGAUUUACCAUUUCACCCGAGGUCGCGAGUCUCUUAACUCCCUUCCUAGGGAGGUCGGCAGGGUUCACUAUGAAGCCUUUCAAAGGUUCGUCUAACAAGUUAGGGCCGCUUGGUUUCAUUGGUCAGUCAGUGUGAUUCUACCGCGCAGGAAAUCCAUGGUCUGCUAUCCCCCAUUUGCGCCACACGGGUAACCUCUAACAAGCUAGAAAAGGUCCUCAUUCUGAGCUAAAGCUAGAGCCAUGUAGCCUCAUAGUUGUAUUAUAUGUCCCAGAUGAUCAUAUACAGAUAAAACCUUAUGGAGAGAAACUAGAGCACCAUAAAAUAGCUCAAUGCUCUAGCCCGCUUUACCAAAGUUGCUAAAAAGUCAUCUUUUAACGUUUAUUGCAUAUUCUAUUAAUCAAAUUACAAGAUCAUAGUUUAGUAGAGCACUAGCAUAAGCUACCCAAUGCAAAACCAUAGGUGACAAGGUAUAAGACCAAUACUAGGAUAUCCUUAACAAGGAGACACAUGCAAUAUGAAUUAUGUGUGAUUAUAGUUGUUAGGAAAGCAAGGAUGAUCCCAUGCUAUACUUGCCUUAAACUUAGAUCCUUCUUCAAGUCCAAACCUUCAAAGAUCUGCUUCUGAAUCACACGUAUAUCUUACCAACUGGACAUGAUCAUAAAGCACCACACUAGCAUCUACGCAAUCAUACACAAAGCAAACAAUAUAAAUAAAUUAAAAUAGCACACCAAUCAAUAAAAAGGUUUGAAAACUAAUCUACGCAUCGUUACGAGCACAUAGAUGUAAAAAACAUGCUAAUCAGAGCUACGGUGAAAAAAAAAACAACGACCGAAAGAUUGUCUUUAUAAGAGAGAGAAAACUUUAAGCCUUCAUUUAUUAUUUUAAUUGAGCAAAACUAUGUAAAAUGUUAUUUAGACUAGAUUAACUUAAUUCAAAAGCUAGGCUAAAUACUCAUAUUGUAUUUAUAAAUAAUGUCAUAUAAUUUAAUCAAGUUAAACUUUAUCUUUGCAAAAGAAAAAGUAUAUGUGAAUGCGACUAUUUGAGUUUAUCACAUAUGCAACGUGUUUAAACUAAGCAACUUAGAAUUUAGAAACAUAUUUUUAUAAACAACUAAUUAUAUUAAUAUUUUAUUUGAAAGCAUAAAUUAAUACAUGCUAUCGAGAGUUUUAUAUAUUAUAAGAAACAACUACGAGCUUGAUUUAUUUUAAUUAAGUAAAACUAUGUAAAUAGUAUUACUUCAGAUUAAUUAAAGUUAGUUAAUUUCAAAAUUCAACUUAAAAAUAAACAUUUAUAAUAUAAUUUAUAAUAAGGGUCCAACAUAUGUAGUGCGUUGAAACUAACAAAGUUAUAAUUAGAAACAAAUUUGUUAAAACUAGUCAAACUAAUAUUUAUUUAUGAAAAAUUGAUUCUUACUUAGAUUUCUUUUAAUUGUAAAACUGGUGGCAUGCAUAUUAGUCAAUUUAGUAAUUCUACGAUAUAGAAAAACAUGUAGCAUCAUGAACGUUGAUAAUGACACGUAGAUUACGUCAACAUGUACGUGAGUCCGAAUGAUGAACUAGAGGAGAAUUAAAGGUCACGUACGAGUAGAAAAAAUCACGUCCAACACUUGGAUAAAUAUAUAGCUAAAAAAUACCAUGAAUAGGUGGACUGAAAAUUGAUUCAAUAACGAUCUGCUCUAGUCAUAGAUUGUAAGGAGGCAAACCCGGCGGUAGAAUGUAUGAUCUGUAGAUAGCUAGUAAACUCACAUAUCAAUGGUGGAGAGAUGCUACAGAUUUGCACGUAAGCAUGCAUCACGGAAUUGUGCUUGCUGGGUGAUGGCCUCCUGUCACAUACAGAGCAGAGAGAUUGGCGGCGUGUGAUAGCUAGUUGCUCGGCUGCAAAAAGUAGUGGAAUAGGUUGGUUGACAUAACCUUGUAGUCUCUAGACAUAGCAGAUAGACAGAGUAAGUUCGCCAUGAAACAAACAACAGCUAGAAACAGAAGAUUGGAUUGUAUAACAUACAUAGAACAUGAAUGGUGAGAAGGUUCGUGUAAGUGCUCACCAUGUUUCAGCUAGUACGAACGGCAGCGGCGUGUGGCCGGGUUCUACCUGGACAGGGGCGGAGCUAGAAUUUAAACAUAGGGGGGGCCGUGCAAACCAAGAACAGUUAUGUAUAUCAAAAUAUUACAUGACAAAGGUGUACAUAGCAGCAAAAUAAACGUUUGCGUCACGAUAAAAACAAGAAGAAAAACUAAAAAAAUAAAGAUAAAUUAAUUAGUCUCAGGCCUCUAACCUUCACCUAAUCAAUCUAUUUCUUUGGCCAGGAAAAGAACCACAAUAAAACAAGUAGUUAAACAGGGGCAAAAUUAAUUAGCACUAGAUCCUAACAUUGGAUGACAAACAAUCAGUUGCAUAUCGUUUAGCCUCAGCCAAGAUGAUCACUUAAACGGGUAAAAUGGUCAAAAAUAGAAGGUUAAACAGAAACACCAUACCACUGUUAGUGUUUAAAAGUUGAGUACACGAGCUAAAUAACCGUUUAGAGUUUAGACAAAUAAUGAUAAAAACUUAGGAGAUAAGAAAGAUAAUAGGAAGACUAAUGCUAAAUAAUAUAGAUUCUAUUGUUGGGGAUCAAUUCAGAAGGAUUAAACAAGAAAAACACUGAUUUUUAAUUAACUAGCUAAUUAGAGUAUGUAGUACGGGACAAACUAAUGUUUGAUAGACAAUAAUAAAAAUAAAAGAUAUGAAGAAAAUAUUAGAAAGAUCUAGAUUUUAUUUGUAUAAAAAACUAUUAGAGAUUAAUAUGAAAUAAGAAUAAAAAUCUUAGUAUAGAUAAUAUUAUUAAUAACUAGUUAAUUAGACAAUUCAGCAUCUAAUUUAUGGGAUGUAUUAAGGGAGUUAUGGGAAGGUUGGGGGGUGCCAGGCCCCCCUCAGCCCCCCCUUCCCUCCGCCACUGUACGUGGAGACGAAAGUGUCAGCGGGAGCUUCAUGUGGUCUUGUUCCUAACGUGCUGGAUGAGCACGGUGCGACUGUGACGUUGAAGAUGUUAUGUUAAUUUACGAUUUCCAAACUAGGGACUCCCCUUAUGGUAGUUUUGGUAUAUUUGUCUAAAGAGCUGGUACAAAUAUAGAGAGAACACUUCCACAUCAACUAGCGAUAUGAUACUAAUUGAUGUUACACCUUCACCUUCAGCCUAAAUAAGCCCAUUUAUAAAUAAAGACAUGGACCUUCAGCGUGGGAAAAGAAUAAGAGAUUUAUUAUUUUCGAAAUUAAUUAAUUUUCAUGGAUAAAAUAAUUCUAUAAAAGUCUAGAAUUAUUAUUUAAGCCGUGAAAAAUAUUCCGAAAGCUCCGAAAAUUUGGAGAAAAUUCUCAGAGACAUUAUAGAACAUGAGAAACUCAAAUGAAGUAUUUUGGAGCCCAUGAUAAGAUUGCUUGGAGCAUCUAAAAAUUAGAUUAUGCUCACAGAAAAGUGAGAACAGAAGCUAGAAAAAUUCCCGAAAAGUUUGUAGGGAUUGCUUGAUGGAUGAGAAACUAAAAGAAGUGAUUUGGGUGACAAAGAAAAGAUUUUAGAAAGCUCCUAAUAAAAACUUGAGCUGAGAAAUAAGGAAUUUGGUUGUAGAUAAAGAUAAAGACAAAGAAGAUCAUUCUACUAAACGCAAUUUUAAAAAAAACUUUGCUCACUCUCAAGACACAAAGGAGCAACAAGCAAACAUUACAUAAAAUCUUAUGCACCAGUAUGUAUGCACAAUAAUGUUGCUUAACCUUAUGAUAAAUUUUAAUUUAAUGAAAAAUAUUAUUUUUCCUAUAUUUUUAUGAGCACAAAAAUAUAUAAUUAAAUUAUUUUAACUCUAUUUCAAAAAGAACAAAAUUUAGGGUGUUACAUGAAAAAUUUUGCAAAAUAUUUUGGGAACUAAACAAGCCUUUUUUCAUAUGGAAGAAAAAUGUUAGUACUGGAUAGUAGAUUCCGUAAGGGAUUUCCUCCAAUUAUUUUAUUACUUAUUAAUCUUUGAUCUUUUCUAAAAUGUUGUAGCAUCAACGGAAAGCCUGAAUGGGACUUUGUUUUCACCUACACAUAAACUUGGUGUUUUGGAUGGUUGCAAACAGUUUUUUUUGUGACUAUGGUUGCAAACAGUUCUGUGUUCCUUUAUGCUCUGUUUGGGAUGGAAUAGGUAGGGCACAAUAGUAUCAUUUUGGUUCUUUUAUUUAGUUACAUUAGAUGAACAAAUUAAAAUAGUUGACAUCAGUUUUAGGAAUGAAAUUUCUUUGCACUUUUAACUGGACAAAUAAUCAUCAUAAGCAAGUGCCAUAAGCACGUGGUUAUCACAAAGGUCCUUGUAUUGUCUCUGUUCAAACAUUCUACAACUUUAGUCACACAUACUGGUCAUACAUUGAUACUUUAAUCUUUUAACCAAGCAUAGCCCUUGUACCCUGGAUUCCGUUCAAUAGAUCAGGAGCUAUAUUUGGCAAUGGAGUGGCAUUAUAAAUUUGCAUUCCUUUUCUAUGGGCGCCUGGGCAUGAGAAUAUUGGUACGUUGUCAUCAUAGAGCAUAGAGGCUUAAGAGUUUAAGACUACUCCCUAGGUUCAGGCUUCAGCAUCCUAAUGAACAUAGAAAAUCAGAGUUCUGCUUUGUACUAUCGUCACUUCUUGAUCAAGCAAACUGUAUAGCAUGCAUCUCUAAAAAUAGAAUUAGCACCGUGCGAGCUGUAAAGUAAUGUUUGUUUCUAUUUUCAAAAUCAGUACCAUUGCAUUAUUCCUCGGUAGAAACUGGUGCUAGCUAUCUGAUUUUUUUCAAACACCUGCAGAUAAUAUUUUUUUCUUUGGUAUGUUAGUUAGCAAAUUCUGUGUAAAAGGUGCAAUUGCUUGUGUACAUGAGAGUUGGCUCCUUCAGGCCUGUAUAAGUUUGUGGUAGUGUGUGUGAUUGGAUAACUUUUUAAAUGGCAUCUUGGAAUUUUCUUUUCUACAAUUAUGAAGUGCAAAAAUAAUGAAAAAAAAUCGGCCUUGCACUAGACAUAUUUUACCUUUUAUCUGGUUUGGUUCAUCCACGGGUUUUGUUGGCAGUUUCAUAUGUAUAUGCUUGUAUGUAUAACUGAAUAAUGUUGUUUUCUGCUUGUGGUUGGAGAUCAAGUUUUGCCUGCCCGACUUCACUGGAUCUCAGGGUUCAGAGAAACUUCAUGGAUGCAAACAGAUUGUGGGCAUUCAUGAGCUCGUGGACAAGUUCUUGGAACUGAUGUUGUGGAGGAGAGGUCGAACUUGAGGUAGCUUUUCUUCCUGAAUCAAUUGGAGGCUGUUCUACUGCUGAGCAAAUUAAGAUUGCCCUCUUGCUUGAUGCUUUUAUUAAGGACAAAGCUUCAUUCUCAAGACAUGAUUGAAAAGGUUCAAAAAGCUCAAGAGCUUGGUAUGGAAAGCUUACCCUGUCCUCUUGGAUUGUUAUUGGACGAUUUCUAAUUCAUAGACGUAUGUUUUUGCUAUUGGAUUGAACUCUAUUUAUCCAAAGAUGUUUCAGAUUACAUUUUGGAAUCUGACUGUAGUGCUAGAUAGAGGUUAGAAACUCUGUUUUAAAGUACAAAAACUAAUUUGAUCUUUCUCAUCAAAUAGUAAUGUUAUUUAGCUACCACAAAUAAACACUUGCUCUUCUACAGGAAAGUGUCAGGCUUCCUUGUAUAUAGUUAUUUAAAAGAGUGAGACGGGGAAAAAUUGUCAGUCCACCCUAGUGGACGUUCACUGAGGACGGAAUGCUCGGUGGACAUUCUCAGAGUAAUCAAAAUGAACGUGCAAACAUUAAAGAGCUUCGAGAUCUACUUAAGCAAUUAGGAACUUAUUUGUAGUAUAAAUAUAUGAGACAUGGCUUUAUUGUUCCUUUUCUCUUAUUCAUAAGUGUAUUUUGGAUUAUAUUAAUUAUCAUAUGCAAUUGUCUGAGACUAUAAACUAUGAAAAAUACAUCGUUAUUUUGUUGAAAAUAGUUGUUUUUAUUAAGUAUAUCUUUAGAUAAAACCGUAGCAAAGCACGAGCACUAUACUAUCAUAGAAAGGGCAGAGAUAUCAUAUGAUGAUGUAGGUGUUGUUCUCGAAAGUGCAUCUGCCACUUUGUUGUCAGCUCCUUUCUUGUAUACUAUUUUGUAGUUUAAACCCAAAAGUUUGGUUAAUGCCUUGUGUUGCCAUGGUGUAGACAGUCUUUGAUCAUCUAAAUUUGUGAGACUUUUUUGAUCAAUAAGAACAACAAAAGAUGCAGACUGUAAAUAAUAAUACCAAUGGUCAACAGCCUUGAGAAUGGCUAGACAUUCUUUUUCAUAAGUAGAUAGACCUUGUGCUCUAGGUCCUAAAGCUUUACUGACAUAAGCAAUAGGAUGACCCUGCUGUUGAAGCACAACACCAAUGCCCUUUGCUGAGGCAUCUGUUUCUAUAAUAAAUGGUUUGGUGAAAUCUGGUAGUGCCAAAACUGGAGCUGAACUGAGUGCCUUUUUGAGAGCUUGGAACGAAGCUUCAGUUUCAGAUGUCCAAAUGAAUAGGGUUCCUUUCUUAAGGAGUGUGGUUAAAGGUUUGGAGAUGAGUCCAAAUUGAGAGACAAAGCGUCUGUAAUAGCCAACCAUACCCAAGAAACUCCUUAGAUCCUUCAGAUUAGUAGGAGUAGGCCAUUGCUGGAUGAUUUCAACUUUGGUUGGAUCAGUAGCCACUCCCUGAGCACUAACUAUGGGACUGUUUGGUUGCCUGGCUCUAACCCAGCCAAGCUUCAUAGGGCCAAGACACACACGUUUGGUUGUCUGUACACAUCUGUUAGCCAGGCUCCACGGGGCCAAACCAGGCUUGUUAGCCAGGCUUUGAAAGAACGCGGGUGGGAGUCGUUUUUCUGGAGCCAGGCUUCGGCCAGCUCAGGAUGACAUUCCCGUCACCUCCUCGCUGUGUGAGUGUGCCAUCUUCGGCUCUCCCUCGCGAGCUGCUCUUGUCCACAGCUGCUCUUGUCCACUCUCUUUGCUCUCGCUGUGUGAGUGUGCCAUCUUCGGCGGCCCUCCCUCGCGAGCUCGCCCCCUCCAUGGACGCCGGCGCAAGAGCUCAACCACAGGGAUUGUAUCCGCCGAAGGGAGGGAGGGAGCUCACAUCUACGUAUGUGCUCCGUUGUCAGGGCCGGGGUCGUGCCCACCGCCGGUGCCUCCGUUGGGACAAGGCCAGCCGCCGGUGCCGUGGUUGCCGGAGCGAGUGCCUGGACGCUCGUUGGAGUUUGAUGACGACCAAGCUGCGGCAGGGUAAAGCCACCGCCCAAGCCACGCCGAAGCCACGGGCAGGGCGGGGCUGCUGCACGGUGGCGGAACCGUUUGACAAGAUGACCACGAUGUACGGGUAUUGCUCGUCCGACGGCCACCUGAGAUGCAUCACGAAGCAUCUUCAUCCUCAAGCUACUUCCUUCCUUGCUUGAAGCAUCUUCAUUCUCAAGCUACUUUCUUCCUUGAUUGUGCAACAGGAAGCAGCAAUGGCAGAGCAGCACCACCCCGUACGUGUUCGAUAAAAUGCUUCAAAGAAGAGCACAGGUCUAGUGUAGUAAACCAAUUGGCACCCUGCAGUUCUUCCAACAAUUCUUCAAUUAUGGGUAGAGGGUACUUGUUCUUCGUAGUGAGAGCAUUCAAACGUCUGAAAUCAACACAGAGGCGCCAAUCUCCAGUUUUCUUGCGCACCAACAAGACAAGUGAAGAGGUUGUAACGAUAUGGCCUGAGACAGAAUGGUUAUGCCCCUUCAAGUAAUGGAAUCUUGUGGUCACCAAUCCUGGAAGGAGGCAUAUCGGAAGGUGGAGCAAAAACAUGUUCAAACUGCUGUAGAAGGUUUUGUAAAUCAGCUGGUAAUGAGGAGUGGUUGUCAACUGGAACAACUACUGCAUUGAGUUGAACUACAAACAGGAUGGAGUCUAUCUUGUUCAGAGCUUGUAACUGAAGAGGUGAAAUAGGAGGUCCCAUUGCAGCUUGAGAAGAGGACAUUUGCUGGAUAUGGAAGAAGUGUCUAAGAAGGUGGUUAUGCUCAUCUCUAUCAAAUUUGGUGGACACGGCUUGAACAAAAGAGGACGAUGACAUAGCUAGGAUUUUGAGCUUGCAUUGUCUGAAACCAUAAGGCAGCAGAGCUAGACAGAUGCAUAGUGGCAAAACGAACCCACUUAUGAGGCUCAGUAUCAUAGAUAGCAAAGAAAGUUUCACAGUUUGUGAUCCACAUCUUUGGGUUAGAUCCAUCGAAUCUGGGGAACUCAAUUUGGUAGAGCAGGAUUGACAGCCAUACAGUGUAAACGUUUAUGAUGUCUACAUUCAUACACUUAGGCAAUUGAUGAAAGUGCUUAGAAUUUGCACCUGCACCUGCAACAGGUUGGUGGGAUGAGGCAGUGGUAAACACCACCCCAUGUCCUGGCUUGCCGCGGUCUAACGACCCUGGUGUUGCCCCAGGCGAGGUAGGCUCCAGAUGGGCGCCAGGUGUUCCUCCUCCACAUGCGUUGUCGAUGAUGAGGCUAUGGUGAUCUAAGGUA
Sorghum bicolor (sorghum) is the source of this 10053-nucleotide long non-coding RNA. RefSeq lists it as uncharacterized. The transcript is spliced from 8 exons. NCBI's taxonomy places the organism in Eukaryota, Viridiplantae, Streptophyta, Magnoliopsida, Poales, Poaceae. The record is from RefSeq and is a predicted model, not a curated record.